CUGAAAUUUAAGAAAUGUUGUUAAAAUUACAAAAAGAAGAGAAGCUCUGGAAAAGCCUUUUUYCCACAUUUCUGUAAAAGUAACAGUACAGUUUUUCAAAACAGUCUAGGGAAUUUUGACACAUCUUAAUAGUAUCUCACURAUUCYUAAUAAUUUAGACAUAUUUCUAAAUUCCCAAGACUGAUCUGAAAAAUGUCAGCUUAAGAAAACCUGCAAAUGAGUAAAUAAAAAUAUAAUGCCUCUUGCCUUUAUUCUAUAUGACAAAAUAAUCAACUUCAGUCAUUACACAGGCAUUAAACAGAAGGAUAAUGAUUUCUCAAGUAUCCCAUCAUUUCCACAGAUUGCAAUUUCCUUUGUUCCACUGUAAUAUUUUCAUUAAACAGUAGAAUAAAAGUGUUCUGUUUUUACAGAACCAUUUCUGUAAUGACGGUCAAACUCCAUUAAUUCUUUAGAAAUUUUUUUAGCUUAAUUUUUUCCAAACAAAUAAGAUAUUUCCCAAUGAGGUCAUCAUGCUCUGAGGCAGACAGAAGCAUUACAAAACACAGUUCUGCCCAAGCAGCUUUCUUAUUGCUACACCUGCCUAUGAUGUAUUUAUAUGGAUGUCUACCAUAAGGUGAUAAAUACAUUAAAGAUGAUGCACCUUUUUAAUGUGUUUCCUUUUUUUAUCAGGCACCCAAACAUCGUACACACAGACCUAUACACACACACACAAGUAUAUACGUACAUGGAGGAUAAGACAGUCCUCUUGGCAAUGGGGAAACCAGCUGAGCAGCACAUAGCUGCUGCAAAACAGCACAGUGCGGAUCUUGGAAAGGAGAAGGGAAAAAAAAAAAUUCUGUUGUAUAUCCCCACCUAGAUAUUUUGUGUCGUCCCCUGCUCCCCCUUAUUUUCUUCCCUUCUGGCUCUGUGGUUACCACUUUACCAACUUUUAAUGGUUUGCUCCAAUACUGCAGUAUAGGAAUUGGCUUGAAAACCUAAACAUUUUGAUUUCCAUUUGAAAAUAUUCUGUAGCAGUAUCAGCUGAUUUGCUUACUUGCACCUCAGGUGCGAAACGAUUGUGUGUCUUCUGCACGGCCGCAUUUUGUGCCACAUCCCUUAGAGCUAAGCCUAAUACGGUGUAGUAAAGACUAAGAUCCAAAAAUUGACUAUCAGUGUAUAUGGGAUAUCAGGGCAAAAUAUGACAUUYAGUGUUACAUACUUUUCUUAAAGUUUAACAUAGCUUUCUGAUGACGCAGUAGGAAAUACACUAUCUUCUUGGGAUUUUUCGUAAAGAACUGUAAUGGCUUAACCGAAGUUCAUAAAUAGUAUUGAGUUAGUAACACCGGGUAUUGCCCUUCGCCAGUACUUAUCGGGUGGUUUACAGGUUGGUGUGGGCCAGUUAUGUUUCACAUUGGUAUGACUUUACAGAGUUUGCACAAGUUUAAGUGAAGUGAUUUUUAGAACUGUUAAACUGCCAUAAUUUAUAUGUAGAUCAAUUCAUAAAUGCAAAUCCUGAAGGAAGGAAUUAUGUGGGAUAAAAGGAGUAGAUAUCUAAGGGGUUUAUAGUGGCUCUACGUCCACCUGAAGGAGAUUUUCCAGUGGCAAAAAGGUGAAGGCAGUUCUCUUAAGGAUGCUGUUUACAAGGCUAUGUUUCGGGGCUAUAUUGAAGAUGAGCAUGUCAAAGGCUAUUUUGGCUCCUCAAAUGGUCCAGUAUGAGCAGCUUUUAUAACUCCAUCCAUGUUUUGUUUUGUUUGGAGGUAUGUGCUACCCGUCGUAGUGCUGUACUACAAAAUCUUACCCUGAAUGUGAAAGAAAAAGUCACAGCUACUCGGUAUUCAAGUGUUUGCAGGGUUUUUUAACAAUAUUUUGAGAUUAUUUUAAAUAAUUUUCUAUACAACAGUAUUAGAAAAGAAGACUAAGACUAAAUUUUUURUUUUUUCCAGUACAGAUUCUCUCUCUCUUUUAUUUCAUCACAAUUCCCAUGCAGACGCUGUAAGUACAGUUUUGAUAGAUUAGUUGCUUUAGUCUCUAGCUCCGGACAGAACCAGGCCCGUCUUUUUUAGUAACAUUGACAAAUUUCAGACCUUGGCUAAAGGAUAGGCACGAAGAGUUGAACGAAAGCUAUUUGAAAAAGGAAUGUAACUGUGGAAAAUGUAAAAUAUUCUGGGGCCAAGUAAACAUAAUGCUGGGUGUAGAUGAACAUAAUCAGCAUGUGACAGUUUACCAAUUGUAAGCGUCAGUUUGCAGCUGUGUACUCAUGAUGGCCAGUGAGAUCUGAUCGGRGUGUUUGCUUUGUAGAUCCCCAACAGAUUUAAAAUAUCUUUUUAUGGACAUGUCCACAGAUGUUUAUCUCAAGUAAUUUGCAAAAUCAGUUUUCAGGGAAACAGAAAUACAACUCGGUCUUUUAUAGGAGAGGUAAGGCUAAAAUCGUGCUAUAAUAAAACAAAUAUUUGUUUUUUCCUUACA
This 2445-nucleotide long non-coding RNA is filed under the name Apteryx haastii (Great spotted kiwi). RNAcentral's name for it is "lncRNA (ENSAHAG00000010731.1)". The record is from RNAcentral. Lineage: Eukaryota; Metazoa; Chordata; Aves; Apterygiformes; Apterygidae.